GUUUCAAUUCCUCAUAGGCAGGCUAUCGGCAUAAUUCUAUGAAAAAAGCAGGCGGCAUUAUAUCUCG
This 67-nucleotide small RNA is filed under the name Acididesulfobacillus acetoxydans. RNAcentral describes it as "Peptococcaceae bacterium INE non-coding RNA". The record is from RNAcentral. Lineage: Bacteria; Bacillati; Bacillota; Clostridia; Eubacteriales; Peptococcaceae.